AGAAGGAACGGCGGAGAAGUCGCCAACCGCGUUCUCGCUGGAGAAUUCGGAACCGGCUGCGCUCGCCCAAAGGACAUAACGCAUGGAUGCCUUGCCUUAAAACUGCACGUUGCUCGCAGCAAGAGGAACACGGCAGGGAGAGACCCGCGCCGCGCCCCACUUGGAGCUUCCGCCCAAGCACAAGGCUCAGCGAACGGCGCACGAGCCAGGAGCUUGAAAACGAACUCGAGAGCCUACGCCUUAUGAGCCUCCCGUCCCCUAGCAGCCAGAGGCAAUCGGGCUUUUGCCGCAAUUAGCGGGCGUAGCUUGCUGACGGCGGCAGCGGAGCUCUGAAACGCCGGAAGCCCGGCGUCGAAGGAGCACGCUGCAGCCGCAGACACUCCUU
RNAcentral lists this unclassified non-coding RNA (385 nucleotides) under Peponidium buxifolium. RNAcentral describes it as "partial miscellaneous RNA". Lineage: Eukaryota; Viridiplantae; Streptophyta; Magnoliopsida; Gentianales; Rubiaceae. The record is from RNAcentral.